CCAACUGGAAAAAUUAGAGAAUUGUCAACUAUAUUGUGUUUGCGAGUCGGUUCUAGACUGGUUUACUCCUAGUGACAUAUCGAGUUCAGGGGCUAAACCCUUUGAUAUAAUAGACUAUGUUUGACAUUUUGUUAAUUUAGAAAAGGGAGAUAAGGUAGACUCUAAUAAGAUUUAAGAUGGGUGGAUGAAGUGGAGAAGUUAGUUGGGGUGUUAUUGUAAUUGAUAUACUGCCUCGGAGACAAGUAAAAAUUGCAUAAGGUGAUAAACUGACUUGCAUUGUUGGCCAAUUCAGAAUUUGGGGCAACAGAUGAGCCUGCCUCUAUGAGAAUGUUGAGGUGAAUGGUGUAGUAGCACUAAUGGUCACCACUUUGGGAAGCAUAAUAUGAAACUAUGUAUGAAGAACAAGUCAGACACUAUAAGAGAAGUCUCCAGAAUGGCAAAUACGUCAUUUUCAUGUAAAAGACAAGGGAAACAUAUUGGUUUUGUCUGGAAGCAAUUGGAAAAAGCAUAGAGAUCAAUUACACGUGGUCCUCCAUUUUUUCACGAUAAGUUGCACGGUUGUCCACAGGUAUUAAGUCAGUCCUACUUUUUGGAAGAGUUUUUCACCUUAUCUUCUUUAGAAGAAACCAAAUUAGAAUUGUUUUGAUGGAUUUCAUAGAAAAUUUUGCAUGCUGGUUAGCAUACAUUUAUCGCGUUCUAGUUUGGCUAGGAAUGUUAGCAUGAAUAACGAGUAUAUCAAAGCGUAGCAUACUAGUGUAAAUUAGUAAGAUGGUAUAGACUUGCAACAAAAAAUUUAAGAUGUUAAAUAGGAGGAUGUAUUAAACGGUUUGCAAAGAGGAAAAGAAGACCUAAGUUAAGAAUGAUGAAAGUUGUGAAGAAGAACUUGAAAAAUAUUUAUAGUCAGAAUGAUUUGCAAUUUACAAAAAAGGAUUCACAAAGCUUGCCUCUCAAAAGUUGGGAUAAGUUUAUUGGUAAUGGUUUAAGCCCUUUAGGACAAGUACAAUGAUGGCAUGUUAUUUAAGAAAGGAAAUUGUACCACGACUUGUUUCGGAAGUUCCCGCUGGAUCUGGUGGGAUUGUCCCAAAGAGAGCUAGAGAGGGAGCUGGAGCAGGAAUGAUGCCACCAUAUUCAGUUGGAACAUCUCAAACAAGCCCUAAAUGAUAUGGUGCAUGUGACCUCAAAAAAAAGGAAAAAGAAAAAAAAAUCCUGACAGAUUUUUGGUCCUUAAUGUUUACAUUGCUUAAUUAUAAGGUAACUGAUGUUACUUUUUGUCCUUGAUUGCAGAAAAGGGUAAUGGCACAACCAUCCUAUGAAUACAAAGUACCUAAUUCUCGUAAAACCUAAAAUUUGCCUAUCCUUUUUGCUUUUCACUCAAGUUCGGUUGAGCCUUAACUAAACAAUUAUACCAUUAAUUCCCUCUUUAUGCAGCUAGAUGCAAAUUGAAUAUUAAAAAAUGUAUCUCUUACCAAAAAAAAAAUAAAAAUAAAAAAUGUAUCUUGGAAGGUCAAAUAACAUUAAUAGAUUAAAAUACAUUCCAAAAAAUUUGAAAAACCUAAGUGUUCUAUAUUUAAUUAUUUUGAAUCAAUAUAUUUUAAACAUGGGAUCUCAUAUUAGUUGUAGCUUAAGAUAUACUGGUAAUAGAUCAUAAGAUUUGCUUUCAAAUGGAUUUGUUGUGUUGAAGAUGUUCUUUUUCUCCCUGCAUUUCCUAGGCCUUUGAAUUUAGCAAAUCACCAAAAUGCUUAUCAAGAGAUUAACAAAUUGUUUAAGGAGAGGGCAUUUGUCAAACGGAUAUUUGGAGGUAAUGAGUGACAACAAAACUAAGAGAUUAAUCAUCUAUUUAUAUGAUUCCCAUGAUUAAGGUUGAUAUUGUCUAUUACCAGAUUUUGGACAUGAAAUCCAAAGCCCUUCUCUUCUAGGACUUUUUUCUUAUAGGUUUUUCAUAGAUGUCAGAUCCAUGCUAGAUAUAGAAGGCUUGGACCCAAUAAUAUGAUAUAAAGUUCCCUCUUCUGUAUAGAUUGUCAUAUUAUGCAGGAUGCAUUAGUGA
RNAcentral lists this long non-coding RNA (2044 nucleotides) under Phoenix dactylifera (date palm). RNAcentral describes it as "long non-coding RNA (PDAC_LNC011960)". Lineage: Eukaryota; Viridiplantae; Streptophyta; Magnoliopsida; Arecales; Arecaceae. The record is from RNAcentral.